This 246-nucleotide unclassified non-coding RNA is filed under the name Hevea brasiliensis (rubber tree). The record is from RNAcentral. Lineage: Eukaryota; Viridiplantae; Streptophyta; Magnoliopsida; Malpighiales; Euphorbiaceae.
AUGAAAUGAAAAAAACAGGGUUUAGACCUAACUAUGGGCUGUACACCAUGAUUGUUGAGUCCCAUGCAAAAUCUGGGAAGCUUGAUGUUGCUACGUCUGUCUUCUCAGAUAUGGAAAAGGCGGGAUUUUUGCCCACUCCGUCCACCUAUUCUUCUCUCCUGGAGAUGCAUGCUGCUUCUGGUCAGGUAGAUGCUGCAAUGAAGCUUUAUAACUCAAUGACAAAUGCAGGUCUGAGACCAGGACUGA